AUUGAACGCUGGCGGAAUGCUUUACACAUGCAAGUCGAGCGGCAGCGCGGGGCAACCUGGCGGCGAGCGGCGAACGGGUGAGUAAUACAUCAGAACGUGCCCAGACGUGGGGGAUAACUACUCGAAAGAGUGGCUAAUACCGCAUACGAUCUACGGAUGAAAGCGGGGGAUCGCAAGACCUCGCGCGUCUGGAGCGGCUGAUGGCAGAUUAGGUAGUUGGUGGGAUAAAAGCCUACCAAGCCAACGAUCUGUAGCUGGUCUGAGAGGAUGAUCAGCCACACUGGGACUGAGACACGGCCCAGACUCCUACGGAGGCAGCAGUGGGGAAUUUUGGGACAAUGGGCGAAAGCCUGAUCCAGCCAUUCCGCGUGCAGGAUGAAGGCCCUCGGGUUGUAACUGCUUUGUACAGAACGAAAAAGCUCUGGCUAAUACCUGGAGUCCAUGACGGUACUGUAAGAAUAAGCACCGGCUAACUACGUGCCAG
This 484-nucleotide ribosomal RNA is filed under the name uncultured bacterium. RNAcentral describes it as "bacterial SSU rRNA". It matches the Rfam family "Bacterial small subunit ribosomal RNA", at positions 30 to 511 of the family's 1533-position model. The record is from RNAcentral.